AAAGAUGAUAAAGCAAAGAGACUGAAAGAGAUCAAAACCUUGCACCUGCAGGUUCUUUUUUUUUUUUUUUUUUUUACU
RNAcentral lists this non-coding RNA (78 nucleotides) under Heterosigma akashiwo. Lineage: Eukaryota; Raphidophyceae; Chattonellales; Chattonellaceae. The record is from RNAcentral.